GCAAAACUCCAUCUCAAAAAAAAAAAGUAACUAUAAUAAUGUUAACAGCAAUAAUUACUAUAAACAUUAUAGCUAAUCAUCUCAGCAAUCUUUUGAGAAAAGUACUAUUAUACCCAAUUUACAGAUGGAAAAAGUAAAGCAAAGGGAGUUUGUGGCCUGCCAGUGGUUCUGCAGCUGAAAGUAGUGGAACCAGGAAUUGAAUCUAGGCCUUCUGGCUCCAGGUGAUGCUCUUAAGCACUAUGCCAUACUGCCUGAACUGUUUCUAACGCUUUCUUUAGGCAGUCACACAUACACACACCACAGCGCCUCCCAUUGGUUCCCGAAUCCUAAGUAGUUGUCCAAGUUCAAUGUCAUAUUCUCCCAUAUCUCCUCUUUCCUCGUUCAUCAUCUUUUCUUAAGCAAGUCUAAUCUCGGGGGUUACUUAAAAUUCUGUGGUUCCCACCCAGACUACUAAAGUCUGGAUCAUCUUAUAUUGGUCUUAGCACUUAGAAGUGUGCCUAAUACAGUCUCAGCUUCCCCAGGAGCAAGACCUCUGAGCCCGCCAAGAGCUGCCGCACAGGCCUCGGCAGCGAUGGCACAGAAGGACUACGCGCUAGAGAAAGAAAAGGUGAAGAAGUUCUUAACAAGAGUUCUACCAGGAUGAUGAACUUGGGAAGAAGCAGUUCAAGUAUGGGAACCAGUUGGUUUGGCUGGCUCAUCGGGAACAAGUGGCUCAGUAUGUGGACCUGGACGACGUAGCCGAGGAUGACCCGGAGUUGGUGGACUCAAUUUGUGAGAAUGCCAGGCGCUACGCAAAGCUCUUUGCUGAUUCCGUACAAGAGCUGCUGCCUCAGUACAAGGAGAGGGAAGUGGUAAAUAAAGAUGUUCUGGACGUUUACAUUGAGCAUCGGCUGAUGAUGGAGCAGCGGAGUCGGGACCCUGGAACAGCCCGAAGCCCCCAGAACCAGUACCCUGCUGAACUCAUGCACAGAUUUGAGCUGUAUUUUCAAGGCCCAAGCAGCAACAAGCCUCGUGUGAUCCGGGAAGUGCGGGCUGACUCUGUGGGGAAAUUGGUGACUGUGCGUGGAAUCGUCACUCGUGUCUCUGAAGUCAAACCCAAGAUGGUAGUGGCCACUUACACUUGUGACCAGUGUGGGGCAGAGACCUACCAGCCGAUCCAGUCUCCAGCUUUCAUGCCUCUGAUCAUGUGCCCAAGCCAGGAGUGCCAAGCCAACCGCUCAGGAGGGCGGCUGUAUCUGCAGACACGGGGCUCCAAAUCCAUCAAAUUCCAGGAGAUGAAGAUGCAAGAACAUAGUGAUCAAGUGCCCGUGGGAAAUAUCCCUCAUAGUAUCACAGUGCUGGUAGAAGGAGAGAACACAAGGAUUGCCCAGCCUGGAGACCACGUCAGUGUCACUGGUAUCUUUUUGCCAAUCCUGCGCACUGGGUUCCGACAGGUGGUACAGGGUUUACUCUCAGAAACCUACCUGGAAGCCCAUCGGAUUGUGAAGAUGAACAAGAGUGAGGAUGAUGAAUCUGGGGCUGGAGAGCUCAGCAGGGAGGAGCUAAGGCAGAUUGCAGAGGAGGAUUUUUACGAAAAGCUGGCAGCUUCAAUCGCCCCAGAAAUAUAUGGGCACGAAGAUGUGAAGAAGGCACUGCUGCUCCUGCUAGUGGGGGGUGUGGACCAGUCUCCUCGAGGCAUGAAAAUCUGGGGCAACAUCAACAUCUGUCUCAUGGGGGAUCCUGGUGUGGCCAAGUCUCAACUCCUGUCGUACAUUGAUCGGCUGGCCCCCCGCAGCCAGUACACAAUAGGCCGGGGCUCCUCGGGAGUGGGGCUUACAGCAGCUGUGCUGAGAGACUCCGUGAGUGGAGAACUGACUUUAGAGGGUGGGGCUCUUGUGCUGGCUGACCAGGGCGUGUGCUGCAUUGAUGAGUUCGACAAAAUGGCUGAGGCCAACCGCACAGCCAUCCACGAGGUCACGGAGCAGCAGACCAUCUCCAUUGCCAAGGCCGGCAUCCUCACUACACUCAGUGCCCGCUGCUCCAUCCUGGCUGCCGCCAACUCUGCCUAUGGACGCUACAACCCCCGCCGCAGCCUGGAGCAGAACAUACAGCUGCCUGCCGCGCUGCUCUCCUGGUUUGACCUCCUCUGGCUGAUUCAGGACCGGCCUGACCGAGACAAUGACCUACGGUUGGCCCAGCACAUCACCUAUGUGCACCAGCACAGCCGGCAGCCCCCCUCCCAGUUUGAACCUCUGGACAUGAAGCUCAUGAGGCGGAAGCAGCCCACGGUGCCAGAGUCUCUGGCUGACUACAUCACGGCAGCGUAUGUGGAGAUGAGGCGAGAGGCUUGGGCUAGUAAGUAUGCCACCUAUACUUCUGCUCGGACUCUGCUGGCUAUCCUGCGCCUUUCCACUGCUCUGGCGCUUCUGCGAAUGGUGGACAUAGUGGAGAAGGAAGAUGUGAAUGAAGCCAUCAGGCUAAUGGAGAUGUCAAAGGACUCUCUUCUGGGAGACAAGGGGCAGACAGCUAGGACUGAGAGACCAGCAGAUGUGAUAUUUGCCACUGUCCGUGAACUGGUCUCAGGGGGCCAAAGCGUCCGGUUCUCUGAGGCAGAGCAGCGCUGCGUAUCUCGUGGCUUUACACCCGCCCAGUUCCAGGCGGCUCUGGAUGAAUACGAGGAGCUCAACGUCUGGCAGGUCAUUGCUUCCCGGACACGGAUCACUUUUGUCUGAUUCCAGUGUGCUUGCAAGCCUGGGGUCCUCUUGUUCCCUGCUGGCCCGCCCCUUGGGAAGGGGCAGUUGAUGCCCUUGAGGGGAAGGAGGAGCCCCUCUUUCUCCUAUGCUGCACUUAAUUCUUUCUGCUAAUAAAGUGUUUGUAGCUUGCCAAAAAAAAAAAAA
This is an RNA transcript of Piliocolobus tephrosceles (Ugandan red Colobus), 2876 nucleotides long. It is a transcript of the gene named DNA replication licensing factor MCM7 pseudogene, with no coding region annotated. NCBI's taxonomy places the organism in Eukaryota, Metazoa, Chordata, Mammalia, Primates, Cercopithecidae. The record is from RefSeq and is a predicted model, not a curated record. The transcript has a single exon.